Molecule: ribosomal RNA, 433 nt
Filed under: uncultured bacterium
Lineage: Bacteria
Description: partial 16S ribosomal RNA
Rfam family: Bacterial small subunit ribosomal RNA
Source: RNAcentral
AGCGAACGCUGGCGGCAGGCUUAACACAUGCAAGUCGAGCGGGCCCUUCGGGGUCAGCGGCAGACGGGUGAUUAACACGGGGGAACGUACCCCUUGGUUCGGAAUAACACUGGGAAACUAGCGCUAAUACCGGUUACGCCCUUUUGGGGAAAGGCUGGCUGGCGUAGGAUCGGCCCUUGUCUGAUUAGCCAGUUGGUGGGGUAAUGGCCUACCAAGGCGACGAUCCGUAGCUGGUCUGAGAGGAUGGCCAGACACACUGGAACUGCGACACAGCCCAGACUCCUACGGGAGGCAGCAGUAGGGAAUAUUGGACAAUGGGCGCAAGCCUGAUCCAGCCAUGCCGCGUGAGUGAUGAAGGCCUUAGGGUUGUAAAGCUCUUUUGUCCGGGACGAUAAUGACGGUACCGGAAGAAUAAGCCCCGGCUAACUUCGUG